This 326-nucleotide ribosomal RNA is filed under the name uncultured bacterium. RNAcentral describes it as "bacterial SSU rRNA". It matches the Rfam family "Bacterial small subunit ribosomal RNA", at positions 28 to 351 of the family's 1533-position model. The record is from RNAcentral.
GAUGAACGCUAGCGGCAGGCUUAAUACAUGCAAGUCGAGGGGCAGCAUAAGUAGCAAUACUUGAUGGCGACCGGCAAACGGGUGCGGAACACGUACGCAACCUUCCUUUAAGUGGGGAAUAGCCCGGGGAAACCCGGAUUAAUACCCCGUAAUAUUAUGAUGUGGCAUCACAUUAUAAUUAUAGAUUCAUCGCUUAAAGAUGGGCGUGCGCCUGAUUAGGUAGUUGGCGGAGUAAAGCCCACCAAGCCUNCGAUCAGUAACUGGUGUGAGAGCACGACCAGUCACACGGGCGACUGAGACACGGGCCCGACUCCUACGGGAGGCAG